Molecule: ribosomal RNA, 446 nt
Filed under: uncultured marine bacterium
Lineage: Bacteria
Description: bacterial SSU rRNA
Rfam family: Bacterial small subunit ribosomal RNA
Source: RNAcentral
AAUAUUGCACAAUGGGCGAAAGCCUGAUGCAGCCACCCGCGUGUGUGAAGAAGGCCUUCGGAUGUAAAGCACUUUCAGUAGGGAGGAAAGGGUAUGACUUAAUAUGUAAUUCUGUGACGUUACCUCAGAAGAAGGACCGGCUACUCCGUGCCAGCAGCCGCGGUAAUACGGAGGGUCCGAGCGUUAAUCGGAAUUACUGGGAGUAAAGCGUAGGCCGGCCGUUUGUUAAGCCAGAUCUGAAAUCCCCGGGCUCAACCUGGGAAUUGCAUUUCGAACUGGCGAACUAGAGUUUUGUAUAGGGGGGUAGAAUAGCAGGUGUAGCGGUGAAAUGCGUAGAGAUCUGGAGGAAUACCGGUGGCGAAGGCAGCCCCCUGGACAAAGAAUGACGGUCAUGCAGAAAGAGUGGGGAGCAAACAGGCUUAGAUACCUUGGUAGUUCACGCCCUC